This 402-nucleotide ribosomal RNA is filed under the name uncultured bacterium. Its description in RNAcentral is "bacterial SSU rRNA". It matches the Rfam family "Bacterial small subunit ribosomal RNA", at positions 356 to 773 of the family's 1533-position model. The record is from RNAcentral.
GGGGAAUAUUGCGCAAUGGGGGAAACCCUGACGCAGCGACGCCGCGUGAAGGAAGAAGGUCUUCGGAUCGUAAACUUCUUUGAUUAGGGAAGAAGAUAUGACAGUACCUAAAGAACAAGCCACGGCUAACUACGUGCCAGCAGCCGCGGUAACACGUAGGUGGCGAGCGUUGUCCGGAAUUACUGGGUGUAAAGGGCGUGUAGGCGGGGCAGCAAGUCAGAUGUGAAAUACCGGGGCUCAACCCCGGGGCUGCAUUUGAAACUGCAGUUCUUGAGUGCAGGAGAGGGAAGCGGAAUUCCUAGUGUAGCGGUGAAAUGCGUAGAUAUUAGGAGGAACACCAGUGGCGAAGGCGGCUUCCUGGACUGUAACUGACGCUGAGGCGCGAAAGCGUGGGUAGCGAAC